This 390-nucleotide ribosomal RNA is filed under the name uncultured bacterium. Its description in RNAcentral is "bacterial SSU rRNA". It matches the Rfam family "Bacterial small subunit ribosomal RNA", at positions 30 to 418 of the family's 1533-position model. The record is from RNAcentral.
AUUGAACGCUGGCGGCAUGCUUUACACAUGCAAGUCGAACGGCAGCACGGGUGCUUGCACCUGGUGGCGAGUGGCGAACGGGUGAGUAAUGCAUCGGAACGUGCCCAUGAGUGGGGGAUAGCCCAGCGAAAGCCGGAUUAAUACCGCAUACGCCCUUAGGGGGAAAGCGGGGGAUCUUCGGACCUCGCGCUAUUGGAGCGGCCGAUGUCGGAUUAGCUAGUAGGUGAGGUAAAGGCUCACCUAGGCGACGAUCCGUAGCUGGUCUGAGAGGAUGAUCAGCCACACUGGGACUGAGACACGGCCCAGACUCCUACGGGAGGCAGCAGUGGGGAAUUUUGGACAAUGGGCGCAAGCCUGAUCCAGCCAUGCCGCGUGAGUGAAGAAGGCCUC